Molecule: unclassified non-coding RNA, 315 nt
Organism: Fukomys damarensis (Damara mole-rat)
Lineage: Eukaryota; Metazoa; Chordata; Mammalia; Rodentia; Bathyergidae
Gene: 7SK
Rfam family: 7SK RNA
About the family: 7SK was discovered as an abundant small nuclear RNA in the mid-70s but a possible function has only recently been suggested.
Source: Ensembl
GGAUGAGAGGGCGAUCUGGCUGCACCACCUGUCACCCUAUUGAUCACCAGGGUUGAUUCGGCUGAUCUGGCUGGCUACGUUGGAGUCCCCUUCCUCGCUCACUGCUCCUUGUGUAUGCCUUGUCCCUCCUGAAGCUGCAUGCUCCAUUGCUCUAUCAAAUAGGACCAUUUCCUCUGACAAGGCUGUGCAAUAGCUGCCUUCCCCUGCUAGAACAUCCAAACAAGCUCUCAAGGUCUAUAUAUAUAUAUAUAUAUAUGUAUAUAUUUAGAAUCAAAAAAGCAAAAUUUAAAAAUUGAAUUAAAGAUUCAAAGAUCU